This is a long non-coding RNA of Gossypium raimondii (Peruvian cotton), 970 nucleotides long. RefSeq lists it as uncharacterized. The transcript has 2 exons. Lineage: Eukaryota; Viridiplantae; Streptophyta; Magnoliopsida; Malvales; Malvaceae. The record is from RefSeq and is a predicted model, not a curated record.
UUCAAUGCAACCAUUUUCCUUUUAACGCUUGCCUCUCUCUCUCUCUCUCUCUUUUUAUUUAUUUGGUUUUAUGUAUGAGUGAACAACCCUCUUUGUCUCUAAACUCUUUAAUAUAUGAGAUUCUCUCAUCUCCUCCUCUUCCUACUCCAUUAAUGUUUCUUCUCUUCUAUACCUUGAAAGCUGUUUUUUUUCAUGUCUUUAGCUUUCUUUGUUCAUUAUUUUCUAUCAUCUGUUGAUGUUGAAGGGAGGAAGAUGGUGUGAGAGCAUAGGGAAAGCAUACAUUUAAAAAAGUAAGAAUGUUAACGAGAUAUUGGUGCGGUUCAAUUUAAGAGCAUCACUCUAAAGGUUAAGAGUUAUGUUAUUUGAUUGAGCCGUGCCAAUAUCACGUAAUAAUUAUACACCUUUGCUCUUAGUAAAAGUAUGAGAGUUCCAAAGGUAGGUAAGCCCCACUGCUUUUUAAACAGCCUCUUUUUGCCAUGUUUAAUGAUGCUACUGCUCUUUUCUCCCUUUAGAUUAGUUUUUGAAUGUUGAGGGCUUCAUACCAUACAAGAUUACAGAUAAGAUUGUCCAUAUAUAUGUAUGUAUGUAUUGAGUGCAGGAUUUUGAAUUUCUUAUUGACCAUUUUUGAAAUGCAUGCAAGGUGGGUUGAAGAACCCAGACAAGAACCAUCGAAGAGGACAAUUUCAAGGAGGAUUAAAUAUUAUUAUUUUAUUGAGUUGCCAACUUGCCAUCAAGCUCAGUCAAAGCCAAAUUUCAUGCAGGGAAAUUUCCACCAUAACAUGGUUGUGAAUGGAGUAGUUUAUGUAUGGACAAAAACAAAGACAAUGUCAAAGUUAUUGUUUAGUGUGUAGGCUUUUCCAUGUUUCUUGUUGUCCAAAUGGCAAUGGAAUCGUCCAUUUGGUUGAAUUUAGAGAAAGUUUUGAUGGGGUUGGUUACAUAGAUUUAAUCAAUGAAACUGAACUUUUAUGUU